UGAAGGAUUCAAGUAGGAGGACCAAAAUGAACACCUUUCAUAGUUGGUAGACUGCAUACUGCUACCCUCUAUGCGACCGCAUAGAGCCAAACCGAACUUAAAAUGACAGAAUUUUUACUCUAUGCGACCGCAUAGAGUUGCUCUAUGCGGUCACAUAGAGCAAUUCUCGGGUAAAAUUGCAGUUUCCUUUUUCCGCCAAAACUCUUAUGGAAACAAUAUUUUUAGGGUCCUAUAUAAACAAAAACUUGACCAGAAUGAAGGGGACGCCAUUUUUACAAGUUUUUGAGAGAUUUUGAAGGAGAAACGUGGAGAGAACAAGAGGACAACAUCGCGUCAAGUGAAGAUUGAUUCGGGUGAUGACGUUUCUUCAGCUAUUUUUAUGUUUUCUUCUUUUUAGCAUUUAGGCUAGAUUUUUCAUUGCUAGGAGAUCGACGAACCUUGUAAUACUACGUUUGAUUUUUUAUUUGGAUAUUUGACAUCUUUAAAUGUAUAUUCCGG
Molecule: long non-coding RNA, 498 nt
Filed under: Olea europaea (common olive)
Lineage: Eukaryota; Viridiplantae; Streptophyta; Magnoliopsida; Lamiales; Oleaceae
Description: long non-coding RNA (OEUR_LNC015520)
Source: RNAcentral